This 2993-nucleotide ribosomal RNA is filed under the name Drosophila melanogaster (fruit fly). RNAcentral's name for it is "eukaryotic LSU rRNA". The stretch from base 573 to 2993 matches the Rfam family "Eukaryotic large subunit ribosomal RNA", at positions 1 to 2089 of the family's 3401-position model. Lineage: Eukaryota; Metazoa; Arthropoda; Insecta; Diptera; Drosophilidae. The record is from RNAcentral.
ACUCUAAGCGGUGGAUCACUCGGCUCAUGGGUCGAUGAAGAACGCAGCAAACUGUGCGUCAUCGUGUGAACUGCAGGACACAUGAACAUCGACAUUUUGAACGCAUAUCGCAGUCCAUGCUGUUAUGUACUUUAAUUAAUUUUAUAGUGCUGCUUGGACUACAUAUGGUUGAGGGUUGUAAGACUAUGCUAAUUAAGUUGCUUAUAAAUUUUUAUAAGCAUAUGGUAUAUUAUUGGAUAAAUAUAAUAAUUUUUAUUCAUAAUAUUAAAAAAUAAAUGAAAAACAUUAUCUCACAUUUGAAUGUGAAAAACGAAGAGAAAUAUUUUCUUUUUCAAUCAAAUAAUACUGAGAAAUGUCUAGCAUAAAAAAUUGAAAUAUUUUUCAUCUAGAAUUGUCUCUUAUUAAUGAUUCGGAAAUAGAAAAAUCUUGGUUAUGUUAUUAUUCUUCGUUGGUUCGUUAAAAAUGGAUAAAUAAAAACUUUGCAUACAAGAAUUAAUAAAAAUGUUAUAACGAAUUUAAUUAAAUGUUUUAUCAUUAUAUAUAAAGAAUUUAUGGCAAGAUAAAGUUAUAUACAACCUCAACUCAUAUGGGACUACCCCCUGAAUUUAAGCAUAUUAAUUAGGGGAGGAAAAGAAACUAACAAGGAUUUUCUUAGUAGCGGCGAGCGAAAAGAAAACAGUUCAGCACUAAGUCACUUUGUCUAUAUGGCAAAUGUGAGAUGCAGUGUAUGGAGCGUCAAUAUUCUAGUAUGAGAAAUUAACGAUUUAAGUCCUUCUUAAAUGAGGCCAUUUACCCAUAGAGGGUGCCAGGCCCGUAUAACGUUAAUGAUUACUAGAUGAUGUUUCCAAAGAGUCGUGUUGCUUGAUAGUGCAGCACUAAGUGGGUGGUAAACUCCAUCUAAAACUAAAUAUAACCAUGAGACCGAUAGUAAACAAGUACCGUGAGGGAAAGUUGAAAAGAACUCUGAAUAGAGAGUUAAACAGUACGUGAAACUGCUUAGAGGUUAAGCCCGAUGAACCUGAAUAUCCGUUAUGGAAAAUUCAUCAUUAAAAUUGUAAUAUUUAAAUAAUAUUAUGAGAAUAGUGUGCAUUUUUUCCAUAUAAGGACAUUGUAAUCUAUUAGCAUAUACCAAAUUUAUCAUAAAAUAUAACUUAUAGUUUAUUCCAAUUAAAUUGCUUGCAUUUUAACACAGAAUAAAUGUUAUUAAUUUGAUAAAGUGCUGAUAGAUUUAUAUGAUUACAGUGCGUUAAUUUUUCGGAAUUAUAUAAUGGCAUAAUUAUCAUUGAUUUUUGUGUUUAUUAUAUGCACUUGUAUGAUUAACAAUGCGAAAGAUUCAGGAUACCUUCGGGACCCGUCUUGAAACACGGACCAAGGAGUCUAACAUAUGUGCAAGUUAUUGGGAUAUAAACCUAAUAGCGUAAUUAACUUGACUAAUAAUGGGAUUAGUUUUUUAGCUAUUUAUAGCUAAUUAACACAAUCCCGGGGCGUUCUAUAUAGUUAUGUAUAAUGUAUAUUUAUAUUAUUUAUGCCUCUAACUGGAACGUACCUUGAGCAUAUAUGCUGUGACCCGAAAGAUGGUGAACUAUACUUGAUCAGGUUGAAGUCAGGGGAAACCCUGAUGGAAGACCGAAACAGUUCUGACGUGCAAAUCGAUUGUCAGAAUUGAGUAUAGGGGCGAAAGACCAAUCGAACCAUCUAGUAGCUGGUUCCUUCCGAAGUUUCCCUCAGGAUAGCUGGUGCAUUUUAAUAUUAUAUAAAAUAAUCUUAUCUGGUAAAGCGAAUGAUUAGAGGCCUUAGGGUCGAAACGAUCUUAACCUAUUCUCAAACUUUAAAUGGGUAAGAACCUUAACUUUCUUGAUAUGAAGUUCAAGGUUAUGAUAUAAUGUGCCCAGUGGGCCACUUUUGGUAAGCAGAACUGGCGCUGUGGGAUGAACCAAACGUAAUGUUACGGUGCCCAAAUUAACAACUCAUGCAGAUACCAUGAAAGGCGUUGGUUGCUUAAAACAGCAGGACGGUGAUCAUGGAAGUCGAAAUCCGCUAAGGAGUGUGUAACAACUCACCUGCCGAAGCAACUAGCCCUUAAAAUGGAUGGCGCUUAAGUUGUAUACCUAUACAUUACCGCUAAAGUAGAUGAUUUAUAUUACUUGUGAUAUAAAUUUUGAAACUUUAGUGAGUAGGAAGGUACAAUGGUAUGCGUAGAAGUGUUUGGCGUAAGCCCUGCAUGGAGCUGCCAUUGGUACAGAUCUUGGUGGUAGUAGCAAAUAAUCGAAUGAGACCUUGGAGGACUGAAGUGGAGAAGGGUUUCGUGUGAACAGUGGUUGAUCACGAGUUAGUCGGUCCUAAGUUCAAGGCGAAAGCCGAAAAUUUUCAAGUAAAACAAAAAUGCCUAACUAUAUAAACAAAGCGAAUUAUAAUACACUUGAAUAAUUUGAACGAAAGGGAAUACGGUUCCAAUUCCGUAACCUGUUGAGUAUCCGUUUGUUAUUAAAUAUGGGCCUCGUGCUCAUCCUGGCAACAGGAACGACCAUAAAGAAGCCGUCGAGAGAUAUCGGAAGAGUUUUCUUUUCUGUUUUAUAGCCGUACUACCAUGGAAGUCUUUCGCAGAGAGAUAUGGUAGAUGGGCUAGAAGAGCAUGACAUAUACUGUUGUGUCGAUAUUUUCUCCUCGGACCUUGAAAAUUUAUGGUGGGGACACGCAAACUUCUCAACAGGCCGUACCAAUAUCCGCAGCUGUCUCCAAGGUGAAGAGUCUCUAGUCGAUAGAAUAAUGUAGGUAAGGAAGUCGGCAAAUUAGAUCCGUAACUUCGGGAUAAAGGAUUGGCUCUGAAGAUUGAGAUAGUCCGGCUUGAUUGGGAAACAAUAACAUGGUUUAUGUGCUCGUUCUGGGUAAAUAGAGUUUCUAGCAUUUAUGUUAGUUACUUGUUCCCCGGAUAGUUUAUUACGUAGCCAAUUGUGGAACUUUCUUGCUAAAAUUUUUAAGAAUACUAUUUGGGU